Molecule: long non-coding RNA, 969 nt
Filed under: Brachypodium distachyon (stiff brome)
Lineage: Eukaryota; Viridiplantae; Streptophyta; Magnoliopsida; Poales; Poaceae
Description: long non-coding RNA (BDIS_LNC005245)
Source: RNAcentral
GACGAUGCUAAUUGGUGGCCGUGCUAUCCAGGGUAAUCUUGAUUUGACGACGUUGUUCCAUGAUUAGGAGGAGAGAAUAUAACUACUCCCAGAUAUUAACUGCCGGUGGCUUUUCCGCAGUCUUCUGACUGGCGACUAGACUUGGUUGAACUCAACGGCCAAUUGACAGAGGAAUGGAUAGCACGCAGCGGUUUAACAUACAGUACGCGUUCAUAUGCAGCAUAACUUUUUUGUUCUUUUUUUUUCCGGAGAACUUUACUGCUAUCGAUUGUUCAUGCUCUCUUGUUCCGGGUUUACAAUGUUCACACAUGUUAAAAAACAAUUUUGAGUACCAAUUAAACAACUACAGUAAUCAGGGCCUGACAGUAAUGUACAAGUUGUUUGCUAUAUCAAUUGUGCAGUUAGAAACUUGUUUUGAAUCUGAAUUUCACCGGUAUAAUUUUUAUGACACGUAUCAUUGUUUCGUUGAUUAAAUAAUGGUUAAUUUAACGGUUUUGCUAGUGAUAAGUCACAUUUUUUUAGGUAGAGAUCUAUCGACAUGUUAGUUAUCGGAUCUUGAUCCAACAAUAGUAAGUGAGAGAUGAGAGAAUAUGGAUGAGCCUCAGAUCUUAAUUCAAGGGUUCUGAAACGUCGACUGACAUUUAAGGAUCAAUUUAAAAACCAGACGACUUAGAAAUAACCUCACCCUAAGUUUAAAUCUUUAAAUGUGUAGCGUUCUGUAACCCGAAAAGAAGUAGUACUAGUAUGUGACGUUGUAUGCAUGACAGAGGAAAAAGGAUAAAAAGAGAAGAAAAUCUGUACUUUGACAAAUGACGGUGUGGUUGUGAGAAUACCUGGAGGCUGCACUAAGCAUUUCGAUCACUUUUCACAACGUUGAAUUCCAAGUACAUAGUCAAUUAAUCAAGCAGAAUGGUUCACAUACCCUUUACAGAAAGAAAGAAAAAAUGGUUCCACAUACAGCAGGGAGAC